CCCAGGCCAACAAUGCCCACUGGGGUGACCUCAAGAGUAGACCCUGAGGGGGGAGGGGAAGGGAGAGAUGGGUUCCCCCCAUGGAUCAAGUGAUUAUUGGCCCCUGAUUCUUUCAGCAAAUAUUUACUUCACAGGGUCCCAUACUGAAAACUGAGGUCUUUGGCAACUCCAGGAGGAGAGCUCUCUGUCACAUUUCCUGGAACAGGAGGUAGGGUGGAUCGCACAGUCGUGGGCCCUAGCAGCCCAGCAGCUCAGCCUAUGCCAAAUUGCCGUUUUUCUAAUUUUGGGCUGGGCCACUCCUCCUUAAGCAGCCCGGCAGCUCUCCACCACUAGGUUCUGAACAUAAAAUGGACUCAGUCUAGUCCAAGUGCAGCUCGGGGCUCCUGAACUCCAAGACUCCCCUAGCUGCCUCUUCCUCUCCAGCAGCAGCACCCGUGGGGAGGUCCCAUCACCUCAGUCUUCAAGGCAGGUCUUGAAAGCCAAGGCAGGUGGCACAGGGCCUCAGAGCCACACCCUUGAAAGGUGACAUUCAGACCCCCUGGGGAAGGAUGAAUCCAGGGAAGCUUUGGAGCCUCUUCGCCACCAUUCCCAGAGGUGCCACACAGGAGCCAUUCCUUCUGGAGAUAGACUGGUCCUUCCUUUGACCUUGGUGGGAGAACAGGCAAAGAGGACGGAACUCAGGCCCCACCAGGAGAAAGAAGGGGUCAUCCAGCAGAUGCUGCUGCAUCACCCUUGGCAGCCUCCUCUUCCUCCUCUCAGCCCUGGCUGUCCGUGGCUUCUGCGGCUUAUUCUGGGGAAGUGUCUCCUGGGACAGGAAACAGGAUCACAAGACUUGGAGCAGGGAAGGACUUCAGAAGGCAUCUAAUCCAAACUGUUUUACAGAUAAAGAAACUGACACCCAACAGAGGAAAAAGUCACAUGUUUGUGGUUACUAAGCAAAGGAGGCUGCGUUAUUCAAUGGGCCAUUCAAGUUGUGAAUGUACUUCUGGCAAGUUUGCUUCUCCAUGCAU
Long non-coding RNA from Phascolarctos cinereus (koala), 1010 nucleotides. RefSeq lists it as uncharacterized. Lineage: Eukaryota; Metazoa; Chordata; Mammalia; Diprotodontia; Phascolarctidae. The record is from RefSeq and is a predicted model, not a curated record.